RNAcentral lists this ribosomal RNA (434 nucleotides) under uncultured Lachnospiraceae bacterium. Its description in RNAcentral is "partial 16S ribosomal RNA". It matches the Rfam family "Bacterial small subunit ribosomal RNA", at positions 341 to 792 of the family's 1533-position model. The record is from RNAcentral. Lineage: Bacteria; Bacillati; Bacillota; Clostridia; Lachnospirales; Lachnospiraceae.
ACGGGAGGCAGCAGUGAGGGAUAUUGCACAAUGGGGGAAACCCUGAUGCAGCGACGCCGCGUGAGUGAAGAAGUAUUUCGGUAUGUAAAGCUCUAUCAGCAGGGAAGAAAAUGACGGUACCUGACUAAGAAGCCCUGGCUAACUACGUGCCAGCAGCCGCGGUAAUACGUAGGGGGCAAGCGUUAUCCGGAUUUACUGGGUGUAAAGGGAGCGUAGACGGUAUGGCAAGUCUGGUGUGAAAACCCGGGGCUCAACCCCGGGAUUGCAUUGGAAACUGUCAAACUAGAGUGCAGGAGAGGUAAGUGGAAUUCCUAGUGUAGCGGUGAAAUGCGUAGAUAUUAGGAGGAACACCAGUGGCGAAGGCGGCUUACUGGACCGUAACUGACGUUGAGGCUCGAAAGCGUGGGGAGCAAACAGGAUUAGAUACCCUGGUA